Molecule: ribosomal RNA, 313 nt
Filed under: Escherichia coli
Lineage: Bacteria; Pseudomonadati; Pseudomonadota; Gammaproteobacteria; Enterobacterales; Enterobacteriaceae
Description: partial 23S ribosomal RNA
Rfam family: Bacterial large subunit ribosomal RNA
Source: RNAcentral
CCAGACAGCCAGGAUGUUGGCUUAGAAGCAGCCAUCAUUUAAAGAAAGCGUAAUAGCUCACUGGUCGAGUCGGCCUGCGCGGAAGAUGUAACGGGGCUAAACCAUGCACCGAAGCUGCGGCAGCGACACUGAUGUGUUGUUGGGUAGGGGAGCGUUCUGUAAGCCUGUGAAGGUGUACUGUGAGGUAUGCUGGAGGUAUCAGAAGUGCGAAUGCUGACAUAAGUAACGAUAAAGCGGGUGAAAAGCCCGCUCGCCGGAAGACCAAGGGUUCCUGUCCAACGUUAAUCGGGGCAGGGUGAGUCGACCCCUAAGG